UAGGGCCCAUCACUUCAUGUGUAGUGGCUUUACAGGCCGCCUUGGUAACAGCCGAGCCGGUGACACUGUGCUGGGCCGCGGUGAUCCGGUCCGUGAUCGACUGACCCGACAUGUUCCGAUACUAACGAGCCUUCCUCAGAAAACUCGAAGCGGCGUGAUUAACCGACAGAACAGGUGCGAUUUUCACACAUGUCUGGUUUCAGAGUAUUUGACGGGACUCCCGGUGAUAAUUUCCGAGGGUUUGAGAUUCCUCCUCCUCCCCCCUCCCACCGCCCGCCCGGCUUUUCUUCCGCUUCUCGGGCGGGGACUGAGCGCCAAAAUGGCGACCGCGGCGCUGGGAGCUGCUUUGUCAGGUGAUGGAAACGACAGCCAGGGAUUAAGGUGGAACUGCAGCAACUACUCAAAAUAACUCCCUCUCUCAGCAUACCAUGCACUUCCCUCAACGGAGAAGAAUGUGUCCUCACUUCUGAUCACCCUUCCAAUGCUGUUAUGAAACAAGCAUUUUUAAGAAUGAGAUGACAUAACUGUUCUUCCGAUUUUCUUGUGAUCUCUUCCUAAAGCUAGUGGGUCUAAGAUUGGAAACUCAACCAAUGGUCGGAUUGUGCCAUACCAAUAAGAAAGAAAAUGCUCGUAUUUAUAUUGUACUUUAGUACAUCCCAAAACACCUUACAGCCAAUUAAAUACUUUUUGAGGCGUAGUCUCUUGAAUUUUUGCGGCAGCCAGUUUGGGCUCAUCAGUGUCCCAAAAACAGCAACAAAAUAAUGACCAGACAAUUUAUUUUAGUGGUGAUAGUUGUGGGAUAAAUAUUGCUUUGGAUUACACUUUUGGAGUGUAGUAAUUGUUAGUUAGCUGCUCGAAAAGUAGAAUUUUAGAUUUCUGGGAACAGGUUCCUAUUAGCUCUCAGCACUGAGGAAUGGCGUGAGAGAAGGUUAAACCUAAAAAGAUGAAAGAAAACUCCUUUGGUUGUCCUUAAAUAGUGUCAUAGAAUCUUUUAUAUCCACCUCAGAGAGCAGGUGGGGCCUUGCUUUAACAUCUCAUCUGAAAGACAGCACUUCUCAUUCAGAUGAGAGUGCUGCCACUGAGCCAUGGCUGAUAUCUAUUCUCUCAACAUGUGCUUUCCAAAAGGUUUCAACAUAGCACACUAU
This is a long non-coding RNA of Carcharodon carcharias (great white shark), 1145 nucleotides long. RefSeq lists it as uncharacterized. The transcript has 3 exons. Lineage: Eukaryota; Metazoa; Chordata; Chondrichthyes; Lamniformes; Lamnidae. The record is from RefSeq and is a predicted model, not a curated record.